GAAUUUUUAUACAAGUCUUUAUUUACAACUUGUUUAACAACUGUACACUUUUUGCAGCCUUGAAAACAUUUUUGUACUUGAAUGGGAAAAUAUAGUUUGACCAAAUCUUAACUUUAUUCUUAUUUCUUUCUGAGGCUCUCUAACAAGUCAUCUACCUCAGAGAAACAGUGAGAAAACUCACGAAUCUAACAGAGUCAACGACUGGCAAACAGGUGCGACAUUGCUCGGAUGCAUUUUUGUACGAAGUUGCUAAAACUGCACUGAUUCAGUGUUCACUGUGAGGUGAAAAAUUUAGUCCUACAUGGUUUUCCUUUUUGGAUUACAAUGACUCAGAAUGAAAUUGUGAAAUUA
Molecule: long non-coding RNA, 351 nt
Filed under: Bos taurus (domestic cattle)
Lineage: Eukaryota; Metazoa; Chordata; Mammalia; Artiodactyla; Bovidae
Description: long non-coding RNA NONBTAT016775
Source: RNAcentral